AACGAACGCUGGCGGCAGGCUUAACACAUGCAAGUCGAACGAUGUAGCAAUACAUAGUGGCGCACGGGUGAGUAACGCGUGGGAACGUGCCCUUUAGUUCGGAAUAACAGUUGGAAACGACUGCUAAUACCGGAUACGCCCUCGGGAAGGAUUAUCGAGAGAGAUCGCCGCGUCUGAUUAGGUAGUUGGUGGGGUAAGUGGCCCACCAAGCCGACGAUCAGUAGCUGGUUUGUAGAGGAGUGAUCAGCCACACUGGGACGUGAGACACGGCCCAGACUCCUACGGGAGGCAGCAGUGGGGAAGUCUUGGACAAUGGGGGAAACCCGUACGAUCCAGCCAUGCCGCGUGAGUGAUGAAGGCCCUAGGGUCGUAAAAACUCUUUCGCUGGGGAAGAUAAUGACGGUACCCAGUAAAGAAACCCCGGACUAACUCCGUGCCAGCAGCCGCGGU
This 450-nucleotide ribosomal RNA is filed under the name uncultured bacterium. Its description in RNAcentral is "bacterial SSU rRNA". It matches the Rfam family "Bacterial small subunit ribosomal RNA", at positions 29 to 521 of the family's 1533-position model. The record is from RNAcentral.